This 496-nucleotide ribosomal RNA is filed under the name uncultured bacterium. Its description in RNAcentral is "partial 16S ribosomal RNA". It matches the Rfam family "Bacterial small subunit ribosomal RNA", at positions 28 to 506 of the family's 1533-position model. The record is from RNAcentral.
GAUGAACGCUGGCGGCUUGCCUAAUACAUGCAAGUCGAGCGAACAGACGAGGAGCUUGCUCCUCUGACGUUAGCGGCGGACGGGUGAGUAACACGUGGAUAACCUACCUAUAAGACUGGGAUAACUUCGGGAAACCGGAGCUAAUACCGGAUAAUAUAUUGAACCGCAUGGUUCAAUAGUGAAAGACGGUUUUGCUGUCACUUAUAGAUGGAUCCGCGCCGCAUUAGCUAGUUGGUAAGGUAACGGCUUACCAAGGCAACGAUGCGUAGCCGACCUGAGAGGGUGAUCGGCCACACUGGACCUGAGACACGGUCCAGACUCCUACGGGAGGCAGCAGUAGGGAAUCUUCCGCAAUGGGCGAAAGCCUGACGGAGCAACGCCGCGUGAGUGAUGAAGGUCUGCGGAUCGUAAAACUCUGUUAUUAGGGAAGAACAAAUGUGUAAGUAACUAUGCACGUCUUGACGGUACCUAAUCAGAAAGCCACGGCUAACUACGG